This is a long non-coding RNA of Cavia porcellus (domestic guinea pig), 1509 nucleotides long. RefSeq lists it as uncharacterized. The transcript is spliced from 3 exons. The record is from RefSeq and is a predicted model, not a curated record. NCBI's taxonomy places the organism in Eukaryota, Metazoa, Chordata, Mammalia, Rodentia, Caviidae.
CGGACUGUGCUUCAAAUGCAGCAAACAAGGAUACUGGGCAAAAGAUUGCCCUAACCCUGGCAUUUCUCUAGGACCAUGUCCAUACUGCAACCUUAAAGGGCAUUGGAAGAGUGACUGUCCUAGCUGCCAGAGAGCAGAUAAGCCAUCCUCUAAUCCCUCGCCCUCACAGGAGACUCUGUCAAUGCCAGAUUCGUUGCUGACUGAUCUGCUCGGACUUGCUGCAGAAGAUUGGUGGGGCUCGGGGCUCACAGUCCCACUCUGGUAACCUUGUCAGAGCCCCGAGUCUCACUGCAGCUCUCAGGUGCACCCCAUGGAUUGAUCCACAGGCCGGAUCAAGUGGUGCCCAACGUGGGGCUCCUGGGACAGAGGAGUCAACGAGGGAGCCAUUCAACACAGCCAGCUUAAACUGAAAGUGAAAGCAAAUUGAACCAAAGACCACGGCGAGGAGGGAGCAAACUAAAUCAAGGAUUAAAGCUAAAAGUAACAGGACAUUAAAUCAAGUGCCGAGGCCUGUGCAGACUACUACCCAACAUCCUGCCCAAGUCAUGGUGACACAACCCCCUGGAGCCUUAUGCUGCCUACUCAGCCUCUUCCUUGAGCCAUACUACACCCAUGGUGGAUUUAGACCCCUGCCAAACAGACUACAACUGCUGACAGCCAUGCACAGAACCCCCUAUGACUGCAGAAGAGGCUCUUCUCAGUCUAGAGAAACAUAAACCAGCCAAAUAGACUGCGUCCAGUGUUAUGCGAGAUAAGCUCCAAGACAUAGGAGAAUGACUUCAACAGAGAUACCAACAAAUGGCUGCCAACCCUUUCUCCUCGAUAUGUGUGUGUGUGUGGGGGGGCUUUUCCCUUACCUAGUGCCCCUUUUGGGUCCCCUAGCUGCCUUGUUGCUUCUCCUUUCUGUGAGUCCUUGUAUUUUUCAGAGGAUUACGAUGCUCAUUAAUAACCAGAUAGAUGCAUUUAUGGCAAAGCCCAUUCAAGUACACUAUCAUCAGCUGGAGAUGGCAGAUCAACAAACCUACUGGGAAGGAAUUCCCACGAGUAGCCCAUAUGAUGAUGUGGCUUAACUGCCCUGGGGCAAUGGACAGACAGUCAGAGAUGGGCAACUAGGACAUGCAUGUUAAUUCCAAAGGCCACCUAAGACAGGCACAAGACCAACUGAUGUUCUGCAAGCCCAUGAUGGGUAAAGCCUGGUUGGGUUCAUGCAAUGAGGUCCUUGACCUAAGACAGAUGCUGUCCGGCAGGGCCUGCCAUACUCCUGAUUAAAUAAUAUAGAAAGGGAGGAGAUGUAGGGAGCCGAGCAACAGCCCAUUGCUGCCUCCCUGCCUCUCUCUCUCCUAUGGGCACUGCGUCUGCCUACAUUAACCAUAAUCCUCUCCUGCUUACGUCACAUACCCGGACGUGACGGUGACCCUGUUGUAUUCAUCCCCAUAGCCUCUUCCUGUCCCACCUCCCGCUCUUGGCCUAUAAAAGAGGUAAUCACUUCCGGAAUAAACUGGGGGCUUG